Long non-coding RNA from Hyalella azteca, 685 nucleotides. RefSeq lists it as uncharacterized. Lineage: Eukaryota; Metazoa; Arthropoda; Malacostraca; Amphipoda; Hyalellidae. The transcript is spliced from 5 exons. The record is from RefSeq and is a predicted model, not a curated record.
GAACACUAACUUCAGGGAAACCGUGCCGGUUCGCGAUGCUCUGAGAGUGAGACCGCUGGCGGAGAAUGAAGCAAGUGCCUAUCAUCUUAGAAGGCUUUUUCAGAUAAUGCCGAGAUCAGUGUCCAAACAGUGGGACAGAACCGAAAGUAAUUCAUCCACAACGUCUUUGGAGCAGGAGAGAGCCAAGCAGAGGUCUAUAUGAAGUCUGUGUCCAAGAUCAUUAAGAAGAUCCACAAUGCUCUACGGGAAACUCUUCGUAGACUUGCUGCCAUCGGCCCACCGGAUAGAAACAUCCCAGAAAUCCAUGAAAUCGAGGGUGGCGGGAUCAAGUUGACGGGCGUAACUGAGGUGCCGGAAACAAAAGUGGAGGAGACUAUGCGGUACGGCAAGGAUCUCGCCACCGAACCACCGGCUCGACGGCUAUGAAUAGCAGAAGCAGCCGAUCUCAAGCCUUCAUCCGCAUACAGCUGCAGCAGCGGAAUAAACAGAAUGCGUGGCGACUUCAUAGUGUCCACAAAGUUCCAGCUGGUGGACCUCGCUAGAAGCGAAUCCGCCAAAGAGACCGGCGCUGAGGGGUCCUAAAAGAAGCUCUUGGCAUCAACCGGGGUCUUCUGACCCUUGGAAAAGUCAGUAGAGCCGCCGCAGCAAAGCAGAGUUCGAUUCCUUUCAGAGAAUCUGAAUUCAC